This 255-nucleotide ribosomal RNA is filed under the name uncultured bacterium. RNAcentral describes it as "partial 16S ribosomal RNA". It matches the Rfam family "Bacterial small subunit ribosomal RNA", at positions 198 to 455 of the family's 1533-position model. The record is from RNAcentral.
GUAUCAAAGCUCCGGCGGUACAGGAUGGACCCGCGUCUGAUUAGCUAGUUGGUGAGGUAACGGCUCACCAAGGCGACGAUCAGUAGCCGACCUGAGAGGGUGAUCGGCCACAUUGGAACUGAGACACGGUCCAAACUCCUACGGGAGGCAGCAGUGGGGAAUAUUGCACAAUGGGCGAAAGCCUGAUGCAGCAACGCCGCGUGAGCGAAGAGGGCCUUCGGGUCGUAAAGCUCUGUCCUCAAGGAAGAUAAUGAC